RNAcentral lists this transfer RNA (69 nucleotides) under Stomias boa (scaly dragonfis). RNAcentral's name for it is "tRNA-Ser". Lineage: Eukaryota; Metazoa; Chordata; Actinopteri; Stomiiformes; Stomiidae. The record is from RNAcentral.
GAGAGAGGCCCGACGGCCGCAGAAACUGCUAAUCUCCUGCCCCCGGGGUUAAACCCCCCGGCUCACUCG